GAAGGUGGCGAGCGUUACCCGGAUUGAUUGGGCGUAAAGGGGUCCGCAGGGCGGGUUUUAAAAAGUUCUUGGGUCAAAUCUUGAGGCUCAACUUCAAGACUGCCCACGAAUACUUUUAAACUAGAGACCGGAAGAGGCAAGCGGAAUUGCCGGUGUAGUAGUUAAAUGCGUUGAUAUCGGUAGGAACACCAAAAGCGAAGGCAGCUUGCUAGAACGGUUCUGACGCUCAGGGACGAAAGCGUGGGUAGCGAAUGGGAUUAGAUACCCCAGUAGUCCACGCCGUAAACGUUGGGUACUAAGCAUUAGGAGUAUCGACCCUCUUAGUGCUGUUUAACUAAGCUAACGCCUUAAGUACCCCGCCUGGGAAGUACGGCCGCAAGGCUA
This 384-nucleotide ribosomal RNA is filed under the name uncultured organism. RNAcentral's name for it is "partial 16S ribosomal RNA". It matches the Rfam family "Bacterial small subunit ribosomal RNA", at positions 527 to 896 of the family's 1533-position model. The record is from RNAcentral.